This 711-nucleotide ribosomal RNA is filed under the name Triticum aestivum (bread wheat). RNAcentral's name for it is "partial small subunit ribosomal RNA". The record is from RNAcentral. Lineage: Eukaryota; Viridiplantae; Streptophyta; Magnoliopsida; Poales; Poaceae.
AUGACUAUAGCCCUUGGUAGAAUUCCUAAAGAAGAAAAUGAUCUAUUUGAUACUAUGGAUGACUGGUUACGAAGGGACCGUUUCAUUUUUGUAGGAUGGUCUGGCCUAUUGCUCUUUCCUUGUGCUUAUUUCGCUUUAGGGGGUUGGUUUACAUGGACAACUUUUAUAACUUCUUGGUAUACCCAUGGAUUGGCUAGUUCCUAUUUGGAAGGUUGUAAUUUCUUAACCGCAUCAGUUUCUACCCCUGCCAAUAGUUUAGCACACUCUUUGUUGCUACUAUGGGGGCCCGAAGCACAAGGAGAUUUUACUCGUUGGUGUCAAUUAGGCGGUCUAUGGACUUUUGUAGCUCUCCAUGGGGAUUUUGCACUAAUAGGUUUCAUGUUAUGCCAAUUUGAACUUGCUCGGUCUGUUCAAUUGCGGCCUUAUAAUGAAAUCUCAUUCUCUGGUCCAAUUGCUGUUUUUGUUUCUGUAUUCCUUAUUUAUCCAUUGGGGCAAUCUGGUUGGUUCUUUGCGCCGAGUUUUGGCGUAGCAGCGAUAUUUCGAUUCAUCCUUUUCUUCCAAGGAUUUCAUAAUUGGACGUUGAACCCAUUUCAUAUGAUGGGAGUUGCCGGAGUAUUAGGUGCGGCUCUGCUAUGCGCUAUUCAUGGAGCGACCGUAGAAAACACUCUAUUUGAGGACGGUGAUGGUGCAAAACACCUUCCGUGCUUUUAA